AUGACGGAUGCUAUAUCGAAAUACUGGUGGGGAGAUGACGACAACCAUAAGCGUAUCCAUUGGGCAGCGUGGUGGAAAGUGUGUAUACCGAAAGAAAGGGGAGGUUUGGAAUUCAGGGAUCUACACAGUUUUAACUUAGCUCUCCUUGCUAAACAAGUUUGGAGGCUGCCUGAGAACCCUGAUUCUCUUUGUUCUCAGGUUUUGAGAGCCAAAUAUUAUCUGGAUGGAAAACUACUGGAUGCCAAGGUGAAAAGUGGAAGCUCGUAUACAUGGCAGAGUAUAUCCGGUAUUAAUACAUUCAGGAGAGGGGCUAUAUGGCGCAUAGGUGAUGGAUCACAAGUGAACCUUUGGGCUGAUUCGUGGAUACAAUCGAGUGCCGAUGGCCGUGUCACUACACCACGAGGAGGGACCCUUCUGUCUAAGGUUUCGAAGUUGAUUGAUCCUGUCACUGGUUUAUGGGAUGAACAAUUGAUAAAUGAUGUAUUUUGGCCGGUCGAUGCGCAUAGGAUUCUUGCCAUACCGCUGGCACCACAUGGGAUGAUGGAAGAUUUUGUGGCCUGGCGGUUUACAAGGAACUUCGCCUUCUCGGUCCGAUCAGCUUAUCAUGUGGAGUGGCAACAUCAAUUUGCACGUUGGUAUGAACGAACAGAGGGGGAGCCAUCUCAGCGUUAUCCGGUGUGGAAGAAGCUCUGGUCUUCGCCCGCCCCAGUUAAGAUUAAGAUCCAUGCUUGGAAGGUCUUACACAGAUUCAUACCAUGUUAUGGGGUAUUGGCAAAUCGCCAUAUUGAUACGUCGGACAGCUGUCCUAUGUGUGUGGGUGGAUGCGAAGAUAUUAUGCACGCUCUCUUCACUUGCCCUAGGGCAGCCGAAGUCUGGAGAUGUCUGAAUCUUGACGGGUUCGUGGAGGAGGCGUGUGAUACAGACAGGCGGGCUCGGCAGCGUUGGACUAUAUUUUAUGUGCUCCUCAAGGCUACGAAGAAGAACGCGGUAGUAAGAUCCUUUGGAUGGAGGAAACCGCAAGAGGAUUUUGUCAAGUUAAAUGCAGAUGCAGCUUUUCAUGCAGAUGACCUCCAGGGAGCUGUAGGAGCUGUGCUACGGGACUGCAGAGGUGGUUUCAUCGCAGCUUCAAAUGAGAGGCUGGAGCAUGUUGCUGAUGUAGGGACGGCGGAAGCACACGCACUACGGCAUGGCAUCUUGUUAGCGCAGCGGAUGGGGAUCACCAAGCUCAUUGUGGAGUCCGACUGCCUUGAGGUGAUUGAUACCAUGAACAAUGGUGGUUUUACGGCAUCGGGCGCAGCUGCGAUCUAUUCGGAUUGUCUGGUCCUUAUCAUAGGUUAUACUUCGGUGUCUUUUGUUCACUGCCCUAAAAAGACAAACUCUGUCGCUCAUGUUUUAGCUAGGCAAGCGGUGUCGGAUCCACCUUCCGUGUGGAUUGAGGAGCCGCCGGCCUUCAUUGUAAAGGGCCUAGUGGAUGAUGUAACUCUGUUUUGA
Molecule: ribosomal RNA, 1491 nt
Filed under: Triticum aestivum (bread wheat)
Lineage: Eukaryota; Viridiplantae; Streptophyta; Magnoliopsida; Poales; Poaceae
Description: partial small subunit ribosomal RNA
Source: RNAcentral